GACGAACGCUGGCGGCGUGCUUAACACAUGCGAGUCGAACGGAAAGGCCCUGCUUUUGUGGGGUGCUCGAGUGGCGAACGGGUGAGUAACACGUGAGUAACCUGCCCUUGACUUUGGGAUAACUUCAGGAAACUGGGGCUAAUACCGGAUAGGAGCUCCUGCUGCAUGGUGGGGGUUGGAAAGUUUCGGCGGUUGGGGAUGGACUCGCGGCUUAUCAGCUUGUUGGUGGGGUAGUGGCUUACCAAGGCUUUGACGGGUAGCCGGCCUGAGAGGGUGACCGGCCACAUUGGGACUGAGAUACGGCCCAGACUCCUACGGGAGGCAGCAGUGGGGAAUAUUGCACAAUGGGCGGAAGCCUGAUGCAGCAACGCCGCGUGCGGGAUGACGGCUUUCGGGUUGUAAACCGCUUUCGCCUGUGACGAAGCGUGAGUGACGGUAAUGGGUAAAGAAGCACCGGCUAACUACGUG
Molecule: ribosomal RNA, 468 nt
Filed under: uncultured bacterium
Lineage: Bacteria
Description: partial 16S ribosomal RNA
Rfam family: Bacterial small subunit ribosomal RNA
Source: RNAcentral